AGCGACGAGGAUUGGAGGGGCAAAAGUCAGCUCUGGAAAAAAAAAAAAAUUGCUUUAUGGGAGGAAAAAAAUCUUUAAACAGUCACGCCCCCUUUUGCAAUGACCGGUCCCUUCACUGCGUGUAAAUCCGACAUCAGCAACCUGGAAAAGCUAGGAGCCUGGCGUGCUGAGCUGUCUCUGUGCAUGCGUGUGUGCGACAGGCAGCCGCAGAGAUCUAUGCGCGGUAUAUCGAGGGAGGUGUCAUCCCGGGCUUCUCCUCCUCCGUGCCAAAAAAAUACCCAACCCCACCUUCUGGAAACCUGACUAAUUGAAUUACUAAGACCUCGGAGUAGUUCCUGUGCAGCCUUACUGCUGAAGGUAGAAUAAAUAAUCUCAUGAAAAAGAACAUAAGGAAAUGGCUUCAGACAAACCUGAACCAGGAUUUACUUUUGUGUGUAUCAAGACAUAUCUUGCUCAGUCAAGGAGCGUGCAGGAGAAUAUGGAAAACAUAUGGAAAAUACAGUUGGUUGAAAACAAAGGAAAUCAUUUGAGGCCAUGUUUAGAUACUCAGCAUCUCAGUGUGUUCUACAAAGAGAGGUAGGGAAGAGUUUUGUCAUCUUUUUUACAGGAAGGCCUGAGGCAUUUGAGUUCAGUAAUUUUCUAGAAGCAUCUGCUUCAAAUUUAUAGAUGAGACUUUUCUGUAGGUCCCUGAAGUUACGGUUGGCUAUGGGUUGAAGAUCACUACUAGCUCGGGCUGUUGCCCACAAAUACAACUCUAUGGUAUCGCAGUCCUGAAAGCAGCUUUCUUCUGCUGUUCUUGAAUAGUCAACAAGACUUGCCUAACCGUAUCAUAGUUUCUGUAAGAGGCACCCCAAUAAGAAAAACUAGAACUGUGAAAUAAUGCCUUUUCCAGCAGUAUCCAAAAUACUCUGCUAUUAGGAACUGCAUCAGUAUUGAGGCUGAAGUCUGGGAGAAUUUUACUACUUACAGUGAAACCAGAAUUUUGCCAAGUUUAACAUGACAUAAUCCAGGCCAGGAUUUAUGGACACCCUGCAUACUGAUACCAGGCAGCACCAAGCUGUAUUUAAUCAGAUAGGGAGUGGAAACUCAGAGCAUGAUGUCUGUGGUGAGUAGCUUCAGUAAAUAGUGCCUUUUAAUAUCUGUAUAAACAUUUUCCACCAUCAUUUUAGACAAAGAAAAAGCACUGUACCCCCAACUUUAUUAAUAUCAUUAGCUGAUUUUCGUUUUGUUAAAUAAACUGUAUCCUCUCCCUGGUAUUUUUUAAAUAACCUCUCAGCUUCAUGGAUCAGCACUCCAAUCCCUCACCUCCUCUGUUCAGAUCUCUUUUUUUGCCAUUGCAAAUACUUAGUCAACAGCACCUGACUGCCAAGAAGUUUAAAGAUCAACAUUGUUUUAUCCAGAAUAUAAUAUGGUUGUCAUAGUUAUGAGUUCUCACAACCUAGAUUUUCCACAGCCUUUGACAAAUUGCUUAAAUUUGCCGAUUCACAGCUUACACAUCUGAAAAGUAGAUCUAGUAAUAAUUACCUCCUUUUUGCAAGUGUUGAGGGGAUUAAUUAAUCAGUGUUUGUUAAGCACUUAAAAUCCCUUGGAUGAAAGGCACUAAAUUUAAAAUAAUGUUUCAACACAGAAUUUUAAAUGUUAGAAUUAUUAUUGUUAUAGUUCAUCUGAUCUUAAAUAUUACAAUUCCUGUAAAUUCACUUCAUUUGACUGUGUGAUUGCUGAAGCAUCUCUCUCCUCAAAUAAUGUCCAGGGUUGAAUUUAAAGAAAAUUUGAUGGAUGGACAAUCUGAUAUCCCUGGACAGCUGUAACCUGGUGAUACUGUAAAACUAGUUGUUACACAACUGGAUCAAAUUUGCCAAGCUACAGCUUUUAUCCCUUUUGUUUCUUCUAGCUUUUGUCUGCUAUGUAUAAAUGCUCUAUUACACUGUAUCUUCUCUUUUAGUUGAUGCUUAUGUUUCCCUCUGACAGAAGAAUCUUUGAUAAACUGGAAACUGAGUGACUCUGGGAACUCAAUAAUAACCUGCUUUACAGUUUUCCAUUAAUUUCUACAGUUCUUCAAAGAACAAUUCCAUAAUUUUCAGCAUUUUUCUGUUGUGUGUAAUCAAACUGGAUGCAAAUGGACUCAGCAAGCCACAAGAUCCUCUUGCUUCUCACAGAUAAGUAUUUCUCUACCUACACUUUUGAGCAUUUUUAUCUAUAGCUAUGAAUAAAUGUGAAUCAAAUAAAUAAAGAUUAUUCACCCUGAAGAGAAAAGCAGUGGCUUUUAAUGCAGUCUUUAACCUAUUGGUCCACCAAAAUGACCAAUGUUUUCUCUAUUCCUUUGCUUGUACAUUAAAUAAAAGUACCAUGAAUGACCACUUUGCUACAUUUUAAUCCACUCAAGCAUCAUAUAUAGGAGUAUCAGACUCUGUGUUCACAGGAAUAACAUGUAAAAAUUUGUGUGCUCCCCUGUCACAGGGAUACAUAUAAAGUUUUUGGGAGUCUAUAGUUAUGAGUCAGUAGCCUUUCUAUGUGCCAUACGUUUGUAGUUUCACAUGCUUUAGAAUUCCUGUGAUCCCCAGGCAAUAACAGCGUCUUUCCAGAAUUUCUUUCACAGAAACUUUUUUUUUGUGUCCCUAUAUUUUUUCCUUU
Long non-coding RNA from Corvus hawaiiensis (hawaiian crow), 2631 nucleotides. RefSeq lists it as uncharacterized. The transcript is spliced from 4 exons. The record is from RefSeq and is a predicted model, not a curated record. NCBI's taxonomy places the organism in Eukaryota, Metazoa, Chordata, Aves, Passeriformes, Corvidae.